RNAcentral lists this long non-coding RNA (1124 nucleotides) under Homo sapiens (human). RNAcentral's name for it is "long non-coding RNA NONHSAT214863". The record is from RNAcentral. Lineage: Eukaryota; Metazoa; Chordata; Mammalia; Primates; Hominidae.
GUUUCACCGUGUUAGCCAGGAUGGUCUCGAUCUCCCGACCUCAUAAUCCGCCUGCCUCGGCCUCCCAAAGUGCUGGGAUUACAAGCGUGAGCCACCGCGCCGUGCCUGGAAAUGAAUUUUUUACACACCAAGUGAAAAUAAGUGGUAUACAUUUUCACAGGAAAUUUUCCCACAAUAAAAUUUCUAGAUGGAAGUUCAAGUCCUUGUGCCUGAGCUCCUUAGAUUAAAAAGCAUAGCAGUUAUUUAACACUCUUUUAAAAAAGAAAGUAUGAAGACAUGGUGAAACUAUUUUGCUUAUCACAUUGACAUUCCUUUGAGAAGAAAGAAAGAAAAUGACAUGUGGUUGGGAAUUCUUCAGUUUAGCCCUAUAGAGAUUUUUAAAAAUGUUUUAACUUUCAAAGGCGCUUUUAUAGAGCUAUAAAAUUGCCUGUCUCCUCUCCAGGCUAUGCUGUACACAAAUGCAAUUCUAAUUUUUAUCGAAUGCUACUUUGAUCAUUCAGCUGCUUGAUCAAAAUCAAUAAUGACUUAUGGUGUUUCAGAUCAUGUCUAUACUUUUCAAGACCCUUAAUAAUCUGCCUCCAUCCUACCUAUCCUACAUUCUAUUUCACAUUUCCCUAUAAUAAUCUUUGUUAUUACCUUACUGCCUUUCUCUGUCCCUGUCAACUGCAACACAUAAGGGUUUGUAUAUAAAACAUGCACACACACACACACACAUACACACACACACACACAUUUCAUGCAUAUUCUGGCCUUGGGACUUUUACUUAUGCGUUUUUCCUUUUCUGAUGUCUACGUAUGUAUAGUUUUUCUCUUAGCAACAUCUAAACUUCUUUAAAAGUCACCACAAAUUCUACUUUCUUCCAAGAAGCUCCCCGAUGACCGUAACCUACAUUAUCCAUCCACUUUUUUUUUUUUUUUUUUGGUAGGGUCUUGCUCUGUUUCCCAGGCUAGAGUGCAGUGGUAUGAUCACAGCUCACUGCAGCCUUGGCCUCCUGGGCUCAAGCAAUCCUCCCACUUCAGCCUCCCAAGUAGCUGGAACCACAGGCUCAUGCCAACAUGCCCAGCUAAUUUUUAUUUAUUUAUUUUUUCAUUUAUUUUGUAGAGAUAAGAUCUUGCUGUGUUGC